This 728-nucleotide ribosomal RNA is filed under the name uncultured Coccomyxa. RNAcentral describes it as "partial 18S ribosomal RNA". The stretch from base 311 to 463 matches the Rfam family "5.8S ribosomal RNA". The record is from RNAcentral. Lineage: Eukaryota; Viridiplantae; Chlorophyta; Trebouxiophyceae.
AGGUCGACGAUUCCGUAGGUGAACCUGCGGAAGGAUCAUUGCAUCGAUCAAAACCAAACCGCGAACCACGUAUCCCCGCUGCGAGGCGUUCCCCUUAGGAGGAGCGACCGACACAGCGCGCCUGUCCCUGACCCGUCUCCUCGGUUCUCGAGGGGCGGCAGGUCUGGCGGGCCGGGGAGACCUCUCUCCGACGUCUCUCGUCGUCGGCUGACGCCUCACCCCGGUCGGCAAAACCCCCAAUCAAAACCACAACCCAAUCGAGCCUGAAGCAGUGGACGGCUGCCCCGUGCGGUCGUCACCAACCAAUGACAACUCUCAACAAUGGAUGUCUUGGCUCCCGUAUCGAUGAAGAACGCAGCGAAAUGCGAUACGUAGUGUGAAUUGCAGAUAAUGUGAAUCAUCGAAUCUUUGAACGCAAAUUGCACUCGAGGCUCCGGCCAAGAGUAUGUCUGCCUCAGCGUCGGCUUCACCCUCUCGCCCCUCCCAAUCGUGGGGGACGGCGGACAUGGCAGUCCCGGUCGCUUCGGUGACCGGGUCCGCUGAAGACCAGAGGCUCGAGCAAGGACCCAAUCGGGACAACAGUCUGGUAGGUGACCCGCAAGGGAUCGCAUGCCGCUGUCGGCCCGGGACUUUGCUGGAGGCCGGAAGGCGCGUCCGGUUAUGGGAACCGGCGCCCCAUCUCAUUCGACCUGAGUUCAGGCAAGGGCACCCGCUGAACUUAAGCAUAU